RNAcentral lists this ribosomal RNA (513 nucleotides) under uncultured bacterium. Its description in RNAcentral is "bacterial SSU rRNA". It matches the Rfam family "Bacterial small subunit ribosomal RNA", at positions 15 to 518 of the family's 1533-position model. The record is from RNAcentral.
GAUCUUGGUUCAGGAUGAAACGCUAGCGACAGGCUUAACACAUGCAAGUCGAGGGGCAGCAUAAAAGUAGCAAUACUUGGUGGCGACCGGCGCACGGGUGAGUAACGCGUAUGCAACCUACCUAUCAGAGGGGAAUAACCCGGCGAAAGUCGGACUAAUACCGCAUAAAACAGGGGCACCGCAUGGUGAUAUUUGUUAAAGAAAUUCGCUGAUAGAUGGGCAUGCGUUCCAUUAGGUAGUUGGUGAGGUAACGGCUCACCAAGCCGACGAUGGAUAGGGGAACUGAGAGGUUGGUCCCCCACACUGGUACUGAGACACGGACCAGACUCCUACGGGAGGCAGCAGUGAGGAAUAUUGGUCAAUGGGCGGGAGCCUGAACCAGCCAAGUCCGCGUGAAGGAAGAAGGAUCUAUGGUUCGUAAACUUCUUUUGCGAGGGGAAUAAAGUGCGGGACGUGUCCUGUUUUGUAUGUACCCUGAGAAUAAGGAUCGGCUAACUCCGUGCCAGCCGCCGC